AUGGCGGCGGGGGCGGUGGCUGCUCCGUUGCUGGCGAAGGGGAGGAGGGUGUGCAAGGAGGGGUGCCCCGGGUGCAGGCUGGACCAGAUCAACAAGACCAACACCGGCGUCCCCUACCUCAACUUCUUCUACGUCUGGGUCGUCUGCCUCUGCGCCGCACUACCGAUCCAGUCUCUGUUUCCCUACUUAUACUUCAUGAUUAGGGACUUGAAAGUCGCAAAGCAAGAAGAAGACAUUGGGUUCUAUGCUGGUUUUGUCGGGGCUGCGUAUUUCCUUGGAAGAACCACUAGUGCUGUGCCAUGGGGCAUGUUUGCUGACAAAUAUGGGAGGAAGCCUUGCAUUAUGAUUAGUAUCCUCUCAGUGAUUGUAUUUAACACACUCUUCGGCCUUAGCACCACUUACUGGAUGGCAAUUAUUACUAGGGGGCUACUUGGGUUACUCUGUGGUAUAUUAGGACCAAUCAAGGCCUAUGCUUCAGAAGUCUGCAGGAAAGAGCACCAAGCUCUAGGAAUUUCUCUUGUUACAUCUUCGCGAUCAAUAGCUCUUAUUACUGGUCCAGCCAUUGGAGGAUUUCUUGCACGACCUGCAAAGAAGUACCCAAAUCUUUUCUCUGAGGAAUCCAUAUUUGGAAGGUUUCCAUAUUUCCUCCCUUGCCUCGUCAUAUCAGCUCUAGCGGCAGCAGCGGGUGUUGCAUGCAUUUGGCUUCCGGAAACUCUGCACAUGUACCAUGAUGAGAAAAUGGAAGCUAUUGACGCAAUGGGUGCACAAGUCACCGAUUUGAACAUAGAAGAUGGGAAAGCUAACCAAUUGGGAUCCGACAGAAUGGCAUCUACGAAGAGCCUGCUAAAGAACCGUCAGUUGAUGUCAGCAAUAACCCUCUACUGUGUCUUCUCUCUUCAUGAUACAGCUUAUCUCGAGAUAUUCUCACUCUGGGCUGUGAGCAGUAGAAAAUAUCGGGGACUAAGUUUGACAUCUCAAGAUGUUGGCACCGCGCUAGCUAUCUCAGGUUUUGGUGUUUUGGUGUAUCAACUUGUGAUUUACCCACUCCUUGCCAAGUAUGCUGGGUUAAUCAAGCCAUUCCGUUUUGCAGCGGUAUUAUCUAUACUUCUGCUUACAACAUAUCCAUUCCUGAGCAACCUAUAUGGUGUGGAGCUCAAAGUACUCAUCAACAUAGCUUCACUUCUGAAGAAUAUGUUUGCGGAAAGUCUCGCAUAUUCUUUUGUUGCUUUGGCUACGAUUACUGUUGCGUGCAACAUUCUACAAAACACAGCAGUGAUACAAGAACAAAGGGGUGUUGCCAAUGGUAUCUCUGUGACUCUGAUGUCAAUAUUUAAAGCAGUAGCUCCAGCAGCAGGAGGAAUUUUGUUUUCAUGGGCUCAAAAGAACAUAACUGGAUUGUUCUUACCAGGUGAUCAUAUCUUGUUCUUCAUGCUGAACAUGGUGUCAGUAAUCGGGCUCUCGCUGACGUUCAAGCCAUUUUUCUCUAUGACGAGUGUGAUGAAAUGA
This 1506-nucleotide ribosomal RNA is filed under the name Triticum aestivum (bread wheat). RNAcentral describes it as "partial small subunit ribosomal RNA". The record is from RNAcentral. Lineage: Eukaryota; Viridiplantae; Streptophyta; Magnoliopsida; Poales; Poaceae.